ACUUUGGUUUUAAUUGGGUUGAGUUUUAUAAAACCCAAAUUAGCCAAACCAAACCGAAUCCAAACCGAACCCGAAACUAAACCGAUAUACCCACCCCUAGUGAACAGAAGUAUCAGAGAAUACAAGUAUAAUUAUUAAAAGUAUUCAAAACAAGUUAUUAUUGCAUAAACAAGUACACAGAAGGGUGGAUGCUUAAAUUAGAUUUCCUAUAAGAUAAGUGACUGAACCAUGAAAGCAGACCCGUAUUAGAGAUCUACUCCCACAUAGAAAGUAUCUAACAAAGAAUAAUUCUCAGAGAAAGAAAAAAGGACAAAAGUACAAAAGGAAGAAGAUAAAGAGAGAUUCUGUAAGAGGGAGGGGCACUAUAAUGUCGUUUUGGUUUCUUAUAACUUUGUUUGAGAUUUGGAUAUACAUAUCCAAUCUAAUCAGGUUGAGAUAUUGAUUCGGACGGCUAAUUUAAACCAUCCCUACCAUUGAAUUUGGUUUACCAGACCUCAAAUAGUGAAAUGGGCUGACUGACUAUAUGUAUGAUUUGUUUAUUGUCAUUAUUAUUGCAAUGAUC
Molecule: long non-coding RNA, 562 nt
Filed under: Brassica napus (rape)
Lineage: Eukaryota; Viridiplantae; Streptophyta; Magnoliopsida; Brassicales; Brassicaceae
Description: long non-coding RNA (BNAP_LNC018009)
Source: RNAcentral